Molecule: ribosomal RNA, 914 nt
Filed under: uncultured archaeon
Lineage: Archaea
Description: bacterial SSU rRNA
Rfam family: Archaeal small subunit ribosomal RNA
Source: RNAcentral
UUCUGGUUGAUCCUGCCGGACCUGACUGCUAUCGGAUUGGUACUAAGCCAUGCGAGUCAUUGUAGCAAUACAAGGCGGACGGCUCAGUAACACGUAGUCAACCUAACUCGUGGACGUGGAUAACCUCGGGGAACUGAGAAUAAACCACGAUAGAUCAUAAUGCCUGGAAUGGCUCAUGGUCCAAACAGCUUACUGCCAUGGGAUGGGACUGCGGCCUAUCAGCUUGUUGGUGAGGUAAUGGCCCACUAAGGCGAUUACAGGUACGGGCUCUGAGAGGAGAAGCCCGGAGAUGGGUACUGAGACACGGACCCAGGCCCUAUGGGGCGCAGCAGGCGAGAAACCUUAGCAAUGUGCGAAAGCACGACCGGGUCAGUCCGAGUGAUUCCUGAUAAAGGAGUCUUUUGCUUGUCCUAAAAGCACAGGUGAAUAAGGGGUGGGCAAGUCUGGUGUCAGCCGCCGCGGUAAUACCAGCACCUCGAGUGGUCAGGACGUUUAUUGGGCCUAAAGCAUCCGUAGCCUGCUUUGCAAGUCUUCGGUUAAACCCACCUGCUCAACAGAUGGGCCGCUGGAGAUACUACAAAGCUAGGGAGUGGGAGAGGCAGACGGUAUUCAGUGGGUAGGGGUAAAAUCCUUCUGAUCCAUUGAGGACCACCAGUGGCGAAGGCGGUCUGCCAGAACACGUUCGACGGUGAGGGAUGAAAGCUGGGGGAGCAAACCGGAUUAGAUACCCGGGUAGUCCCAGCUGUAAACGAUGCAAACUCGGUGAUGCAUUGGCUUAUUGCCAAUGCAGUGCCGCAGGGAAGCCGUUAAGCUUGCCGCCUGGGAAGUACGGACGCAAGUCUGAAACUUAAAGGAAUUGGCGGGAGAGCACCACAAGGGGUGAAGCCUGCGGUUCAAUUGGAGUCAACGCCGGG